Molecule: long non-coding RNA, 532 nt
Filed under: Ananas comosus (pineapple)
Lineage: Eukaryota; Viridiplantae; Streptophyta; Magnoliopsida; Poales; Bromeliaceae
Description: long non-coding RNA (ACOM_LNC025943)
Source: RNAcentral
AACCCCCAUUUUAUCCCCAAACACUUCUAAAAAUGGGUCGGAUUAGCUAACCCCAGCUAACCACACCUCAAAUGGGUUAUCCCGGGUUAGCUAACCCCACCAAACCCCAACCAAACACUAUUUUCUAUUCAUAAUAACCCACUAUCCUUCUUAUCCUACCUACUCCAACCAAACACUAUUUUUCACUAUCCUGGACUAACUCCAACCCCCAACCAAACACAAAAAUACUCUAACCCCACCUUAACCCUAAACUUAACCCUAUCUCUGGAAUAACUAGUUUUUCCUUAACCCCGAACCAAACUAGGGGCAAGAGUCUAUUUUUAACCAACCCAAAAAAAGAGCAAAACUCACCUAAAUGUUGGAAAAAUCCUCUCAAAUCCCAAAUGGAAGUUAGAGCAUUUCUAAUCCAACCUAGAGGAAGGUUCUACAUCUAUCAAUUAAGCUCCAAAAGCCACAAAUCAAAAAUCCCCAAAUAAAAUCCUAAAUUCCACACUCUAGGUUUUCAUCUCAAAAACUUAAGCAAAACCACAAU